CCUACGGGUGACAGCAGUCGAGAAUUAUUCACAAUGGGGGAAACCCUGAUGGUGCGACGCCGCGUGGGGGAAUGAAGGUCUUCGGAUUGUAACCCCCUGUCAUGUGGGAGCAUAUUAAAAAGAUAGUACCACAAGAGGAAGCGACGGAUAACUCUGUGCCAGCAGCCGCGUUAAUACAGAGGUCUCAAGCGUUGUUCGGUACCACUGGGCGUAAAGCUUGCGUGGGCUGUUUAGUAAUUCGUGUGUGAAAGCGGCGGGCCUAACCCGCGGACGGCUCAGUAUACUGCUAGACUAGAGUAAUGUAGGGGGAACUGGAAUUCUCGGUGUAGCAGUGAAAUGCGUAGAUAU
Molecule: ribosomal RNA, 348 nt
Filed under: uncultured bacterium
Lineage: Bacteria
Description: partial 16S ribosomal RNA
Rfam family: Bacterial small subunit ribosomal RNA
Source: RNAcentral